Molecule: long non-coding RNA, 1520 nt
Organism: Cucurbita moschata (crookneck pumpkin)
Lineage: Eukaryota; Viridiplantae; Streptophyta; Magnoliopsida; Cucurbitales; Cucurbitaceae
Exons: 6
Source: RefSeq, a predicted model, not a curated record
CGUUUUCCGAUAGUACUCCACCAGCGAUUGUCUCUCUCUCGGCCCUCUUUCUCUCUAUCCUAACCCUAAUCGAACCUGCUACUUCAUGUGCGAUGAUUCCGAUCUCUUUUUUUUUGAUAUUAUCAUUCUGGUUGAGUUGAUGGCUUCGGAGGUGCUAACAAAUGAAGCUUACCAUGAAUAAUGUGAUAUUUAUAGUUACGGAAUCAUAAUAUGGGAGCUUUCCGCAAUGCAGUGACAUGAAUGAACUUGAUGCAAGUUGUAGGCUCAUAUCUUUUCGUUAUCAGGAAGUUUUGGCGAAGGAUGGAGAAGUUAUUGAGAGAUCCCUUGCAGUUGAAGCGGCCAAUGUCAUCAGUUUCUGGUGGCUCAAUGGCAGUGAGAUUGAUGUAAGAAAGCUGAACGUUCUCACAAGGCACGGCUGAGCUGCAUUGCAGAUUUACUGCAAAUUCAGAGUUAAAUGAUGGUAGAUACGAUACGAUACCUGAUUCCAUGACCAGGACCACAUCUAACGUUAGAAACCGACACGUUGAUGCUACCAGGUCCGAUGGAAACACAGUCGUCGCCGACACUGAUGUCGGAGGCUGUUAUGUUGAUAUUGGUGGACUGACUGAUAUGAAUGCCAUCAGUGUUCUGACUAUUCCAAGGAGCUGUAAUGUUGAACCCAGAAAGAUGAAUAUUGUCGCACCCAUUAAGGGCUACAUGAAAGCCCUUGCUGUUCACAAGGCUAAUAUUGCUCACUGUCGCAUUUGACACAUCACUCAGCUUCAAAGACUGCUCAUAUAAAGGAAACUUGCAUCAAUGCAUGGAACUGGGUAAAAAUGGUUAAAGCUUUGGUGUCUUUGAUGGGGGAUUGAAGCAGAUGAUCACAGCAAAUUCAGAUAGAAAAUCCCGCAAAAAAAAGCGAUGGCGGCAGUUGAAACCAUACAACCAGGUUUCAGCACCCUGGCCGUCGAGAAUGCCGGAUCCGACGUUGCCGGUGAUGGUGAGAUGGCGGAGGGACUUGAAGUAGAUCCAAACGUCGGCGGUGAGGGUGGUGGGAGCAAUCAAAGUGCCUAAAAUGAUGACUUUGGGAGAGAGAUCACCGAAACAAGGGCCUGAAAAUAACACUUGGGCAAGGAAGAAGCUGCCCUCUGGUAUUAACAAGGUUGAGCUUCCUCUCAAUUGCCCCAUAAUCAGUUACAUCAAAAACUGCCAGUCCCCUCCAUGGAUCUCCGACGGGGGGCUCCGCCAUGUCCGGCGGCAGAAGAAGAAAAUCCCAUGAACCGGCGGCAGAUUCCAGUGCUGGUUCCGGCGAGAAAUUACGUCCAGAUACAGAAACAGCCAGAAGAAAAUAGAACAUUACCAGAGAUGAAAGCUUCAUGGUUUUUUGAGAAUUUUGAGAUUCUCCUCACUAAGAAAAUGGCGAUAAUUGGCCAUUUAUAAUCUAAUGAAUUCUUAACUGAAGUAAUUACGAUUAAUUAAUUACUUGGGAUUGGUUUGGUUCGUUUCUGGUCGUAUCUAAUUUAAUUCUGGAUUAUCAUCUC